GCGGACGUGGUGGAACCGGUAGACACACGAGACUUAAAAUCUCGAGUUCGUAAGAGCGUGCGGGUUCGAGUCCCGCCGUCCGCACCA
This 87-nucleotide transfer RNA is filed under the name Hyphomicrobium sp. RNAcentral describes it as "tRNA-Leu". It matches the Rfam family "tRNA". Rfam says of the family: Transfer RNA (tRNA) molecules are approximately 80 nucleotides in length. Their secondary structure includes four short double-helical elements and three loops (D, anti-codon, and T loops). The record is from RNAcentral. Lineage: Bacteria; Pseudomonadati; Pseudomonadota; Alphaproteobacteria; Hyphomicrobiales; Hyphomicrobiaceae.